Molecule: transfer RNA, 74 nt
Filed under: Limnochordales bacterium
Lineage: Bacteria; Bacillati; Bacillota; Limnochordia; Limnochordales
Description: tRNA-Gln
Rfam family: tRNA
About the family: Transfer RNA (tRNA) molecules are approximately 80 nucleotides in length. Their secondary structure includes four short double-helical elements and three loops (D, anti-codon, and T loops).
Source: RNAcentral
UGGGAGGUCGUCCAACGGCAGGACACGGGGCUCUGGACCCCGGUAUGAAGGUUCGAAUCCUUCCCUCCCAGCCA